AGCAGAUUGAUGAUGAAACAAUUUCUCCAAGCGUUUGUUACGCUGACAUCCAUAUAUGAUGGAGGGCUAUGUUACCAUAGCCUUCAUAGUUUUCAAUCUGAACCAUCU
Molecule: non-coding RNA, 108 nt
Organism: Oryza meridionalis
Lineage: Eukaryota; Viridiplantae; Streptophyta; Magnoliopsida; Poales; Poaceae
Source: Rfam